AACGCACAUUGCGCCCUGUGGUAUUCCGCAGGGCAUGCCUGUUCGAGCGUCAUUUAGACCACUCACGCCUGGCGUGGUAUUGGGGCACGCGGUUCCGCGGCCCUCAAAAUCAGUGGCGGCGCCGGUAGGCCCUAAGCGUAGUAAAUCUCCUCGCUAUAGGGUCCUCUCGGUGGCUCGCCAGAACCCCCAACUUCUCAAGGUUGACCUCGGAUCAGGUAGGGAUACCCGCUGAACUUAA
RNAcentral lists this unclassified non-coding RNA (238 nucleotides) under Mycena sp. RNAcentral describes it as "partial contains 5.8S ribosomal RNA, internal transcribed spacer 2, and large subunit ribosomal RNA". The stretch from base 1 to 52 matches the Rfam family "5.8S ribosomal RNA", at positions 103 to 154 of the family's 154-position model. RNAcentral also lists the same sequence under 1 other name. Lineage: Eukaryota; Fungi; Basidiomycota; Agaricomycetes; Agaricales; Mycenaceae. The record is from RNAcentral.